UACGUAGGGCCCGAGCGUUGUCCGGAAUUACUGGGCGUAAAGAGCUCGUAGGUGGUUUGUCGCGUUGUUCGUGAAAACUCACAGCUUAACUGUGGGCGUGCGGGCGAUACGGGCAGACUUGAGUACUGCAGGGGAGACUGGAAUUCCUGGUGUAGCGGUGGAAUGCGCAGAUAUCAGGAGGAACACCGGUGGCGAAGGCGGGUCUCUGGGCAGUAACUGACGCUGAGGAGCGAAAGCGUGGGGAGCGAACAGG
This 253-nucleotide ribosomal RNA is filed under the name uncultured bacterium. RNAcentral describes it as "partial 16S ribosomal RNA". It matches the Rfam family "Bacterial small subunit ribosomal RNA", at positions 524 to 776 of the family's 1533-position model. The record is from RNAcentral.